UACGGAGGGUGCAAGCGUUAUCCGGAUUCACUGGGUUUAAAGGGUGCGUAGGCGGGCAGGUAAGUCAGUGGUGAAAUCUCCGGGCUUAACCCGGAACUGCCGUUGAUACUAUCUGUCUUGAAUAUCGUGGAGGUAAGCGGAAUAUGUCAUGUAGCGGUGAAAUGCUUAGAUAUGACAUAGAACACCAAUUGCGAAGGCAGCCCGCUACACGGUUAUUGACACUGAGGCACGAAAGCGUGGGGAUCAAACAGG
RNAcentral lists this ribosomal RNA (252 nucleotides) under uncultured bacterium. RNAcentral's name for it is "partial 16S ribosomal RNA". It matches the Rfam family "Bacterial small subunit ribosomal RNA", at positions 524 to 776 of the family's 1533-position model. The record is from RNAcentral.